AAAAAAAAAAAAAACGAAUACGACUGGUUGCCGAGAAGAAUAGAGGCGGGGGCAGCCUAACCUGGGCCACCGAGUUUGGUAAGAAAGAGGCGGUUCCAAGUGGUGAUAUCAUAGGCCGCCAGGGCACUGUACCGGUUGCCCAAAAUGUCAGCUAUGCACACCACCACCCGAUUCCGAGGGCGGUCGAUGGUGAAGCCCAGAGUGGCGUUGCCGGCCAAGUCAGCGUCCUUUACCACCUGGAUCUCCUCCAAGGCCGAGGCUUUGGGAUGAUGAUGCUCGGCAAGAAUCGGAACUACGCCCAUACCCCCCUCGAACAACGACACGAUGAAUCGACUGUUGACGUCGUCCCACUUGCUGCACUCCCUCAGCCACCCAACACUCUGGUAUUCGUACACGUGCCUGCCCGCCUUCCCAGCCGUCCCCAGCCUUAUCACAUAUCCGAUGGGAACGGCUGAUAUCAGGAACAACACCAACAAACACCUGGUGGAACAGCAAGGGGAGCGAGCCAUGGCCGCCGUCUUACUCUCAGAUUCAGAUUUUCUCCCACCUCUUUCUCUAUGCCUAAGCCCCGCCCCCUCCUCUCCCUACUCUAAUAUGGUGUCCGGUCAAGAUUCGGAGACGGUCCGACUAAUCUCCUGAGCUUGGAGUACAACGCCACCCCAAUCGCAUUCAGGUGUUAAGUGAGGUCGAUCCCGCGACGUGCGAGAGUGUCGGAAGCAGCCACAAAUCGCGUGAUUUAGAGCCGGGCAAUUAAGUCUAAUUAGGAUAUGUCUUUUUGGUACUGACGGCAAAAGAGGAGGCUGUUGGCUGUACACUAGGAGGAGGAUUGGGGUUGGUAGCUUUGACUUUUGAUUUUUCAGAGAGAGUAAUUGAACCAACGACCACGUACACGUAGACUACCACCAAGCCAAAGACCAAAAUCGCAGCUCAGUUGAGCUGGCAUUGGAAAAUCCGAAGUUAAACACUAGGGGGUUUUUGAAAUCGACGAGCCAGAGUACUUUUGAGUUUGGGCAUCUGGCAACACAAAAAUUAUUGCUGGUUGCUUUUAUUUUUUAAUACUUUGAUUUCGCGGUCCUUUUCUUUAUUUAUUGCUGGUAUUUAAGCACACAAAAAUUAGGGCCAGGCGCCAAUGAAAA
Molecule: long non-coding RNA, 1136 nt
Organism: Coffea arabica (coffee)
Lineage: Eukaryota; Viridiplantae; Streptophyta; Magnoliopsida; Gentianales; Rubiaceae
Source: RefSeq, a predicted model, not a curated record